This 3881-nucleotide long non-coding RNA is filed under the name Homarus americanus (American lobster). Its description in RNAcentral is "uncharacterized LOC121876275, transcript variant X1". The stretch from base 832 to 900 matches the Rfam family "tRNA". Lineage: Eukaryota; Metazoa; Arthropoda; Malacostraca; Decapoda; Nephropidae. The record is from RNAcentral.
GGAACCGCAAGGAAGCCGCAGUGGGCUGCCGCAUGAGCGGAGCCAACUAGCGUGGGAAAGGUUGAUUUUUGCUGAGACGUGACCUAUAGAUGGGCUGACCGGCACAGAGGUAGACCCCGAAUUAUGAGUUUAGUUAGAGGUAAGGCGAAUGAAAUUUGUGAAUGGGUGUUGUUUGUGCUGUUAUAUACUGGAGGCUAUAUAAUGGUACUACACGCUCGGUUGUGUGUGGUCGUAUGAAGUUGUCGUAGAUAGAGGCGAAGUAAGGUGGCAGUGUGCCGUGGGUAAGUUAGUGUUGGCGUUUUAUACGCAGAUUAGUGUUAUUAAUUUGUAUUGGUUUUGUUUGGGUAGUUGCCUGUUGUAAAUUUUGAGGUUGAGCGGUAAGUACUGUUGUGAGAAAUUAUUUAUUAUGGUAUAUGUGAAUUGAUUGUAAUUUGGUUACUCUCAAAUGGGUUUUGAGACAGUGCUUGAACCUCGAGUUUUUUUGCAGGUGUAUGGAAGGCUAAUACUGUGGAAUAGAGAAGAGAACGUGGCAUAAGUUUUGAGGUGGAGCCUAUCGCGUGUGUAGACUUGCGGUGAGGACUGGGUGAAUACGGUUGUUGGUGGAAGGAGCUGGUGUUUUUUGAGGAACAGAGCUGGGUUGGUGUCUGGUGGUGGAGGAAUGUGGUCGUCGGUUCCCUAGUGCACCCAAGUGUCUCUAGUUUAUAGUAGAGACGGGCAAGGGGAGACUUGAGUGAGGUGUAUAAACCUGUGAAAGGGCACUACUCUGUCGAGGAACCAUACCCGUAGCUGACCGACGCCCGCCUCACAAGGGGCCACAGCUGAAAGGGGGGUGCCGGCGGUAGAGCGGUACCGCUCUCGCCUCGCAAGCGAGACGUCGCGGGUUCGAUUCCCGGGCCGGCGGAAAGUGGUUUGGACACACUUCCUAGACCCCCUCGGUCCCUGUCGACCUAGCAGUGAAGUAGGUACCUGUCGUAAAUCGAAAGUUGCGAAUUCGUAUUCGGGGACAAGUUGUUGGAGCUAGCCGACAAAAUGUUAAAGACGGUCAAGGGUUGUAUGCCAUUGACCAAAAAUGCUAUGACCCUUUAGGCUCGUGCUCACGAGACAGAAAGGCAAGCACGAACUUGGCAUGCUGCCUAGUUGGGUGGUGUAGGCGCUUCUGCCCUUCACCUUGCAUGGGAAUAAAGGGGGGGAGGGGGGAUGCCCCUCCCCCCCCCCAAAAAAGUGGUAAUAAGAAAUCUAAAAAUGGUGGAGUAGAAUAUAGACUUGUGUUGACGGUAUCGACUAACCAAGAAGAAGUAUGGUAACCAUCCAGAGGUGGGGGAAGCUGAUGUUUGAAACGAGCCGAGUGUUGUAACCAGUCGGCCUGUGCACCAUGUAUUUAAAGGAGUUGUUGCAGUCCAUAAGACGUGAUAAUCCAGAGGGACAUUAACGCUGGACUGAAUGUUGGAAAUGAGAGGCACUGAAGGUGUAAGUAUUGUUUAUUGAAGUUGCACCUAUACUUUGUGUUAAUUUGAAGAGUAAAGUAAUUGUAACAUUGACGUAUUGUUAUUUUUUUUCCAUGCCGGUGGUGGAUGAAUAUGGGCGAAUUGUCGAGAGGAGCGCGUGGACACCGGAUACCGUGACGUAAAAUUUUGCAGUGUAUUAUUUGAAGGUUUUCGGAUGGGGUGGUGUUGGCAAGUGCCGUAAGGAGGUUUUUGACAGGGUGGACUACUACAUGCAUGGGGCUGUGCAUUAGACUGUGUUGAGGAGAAGGAGCAGCAGAAGCAGUAGUAGCAGCAUUUUAAGAUAAGUGUUGUGGUGUGUUGCAUGAUGAAUGGUUUGGAAUAGUUUAGGGAAUUGAGUGUAUUGUAGUUGAAUUGUUGUCAGAUGUGUAGUGAUGUGAAAUGAAUGUAAGUUGUUGAGCAGGAAUUCUAGGUUAGUUUUAGAUUAGUAUAUGUGGAGAAUGGAUGUAGCAGGUAAUAGAAAUGUUAAGAAUAGUGUAGAGGCAUAUAUAUUUUUGAUUUCAUAUAAUGUUUGUUUUUUCUUUGUAGGUUAAAUGGGUGUACUUAUUGGGGAGUGUGGCGUUGGAGCUGUUUUGUGAAAGGACGACGGCGACCUGUAUGGAGGUAGAGUAAUGAAGUGUGGCAGGGUAUUUUUAUGGAGAUUAUAAGGAGGGCGAUUGGAGAUGUUGCAAUAGGAAGGUGAUGUGGCAGGUAAAAAUGAAUGGAGAUUUAGGUUGUGGAGGAAAUAAUGUGUUUUUGUGUUUCAGGCCGGAUUGGAGUAGGAGAAUUUUUUAGUGGGAAUGGUGGGCGGCAGCUGUGACGUGAGCGAAAGGGUAAGAAGUGAGGAGGCGAUUGUUUGUGUUAAAGAGUUUGUGUUUGAAUUUAGGUAAGAUUUUAGGUUUGGAAGUGUAGGGAUGAGUUUAGUGAAGGGGUUCCGACUUGAGUGGGAGUAAUAAAUUAGAGUAGGACGUGGGCCGGCGUUUUGUAGUAGAAUGGGCGGGAAGGUGAAUUUGUUGUGGGGAGAAGGUAUUGGGUGGGGUAGAAUGUUUUUUUUUUUUGUAGGAAGAUGUGGUGGGUAUGUAUUGUAAUUGUAUAGUAGUGUUUGUAGAAUUGAGUUGUAAUAGUUUGUUUGUAGCAGGCUAGUAUUGUUGUUACACACUGGAGGCUGUGUAAUGAUUGGUACUAGCCUGGGUGAAUGGUUUGUAGUAGAGUAUGUAGUUUGAGUUGUGUAUAUUGUUUUUAAGUUGGCAUUUGUAGUGUAGGGUGUGGUUUAAAAGGAAGAAGUUGGGUUUUGGCAGUUGCGGGCUCGGCCGAGUUCGAGUUUUUGUCGUAGGCAAGCGACUAGGAAGGAGAGGGAAGUGCGAAUGCACGAACAUCGUCGGAAUGGCGUUUAAUAUGGAAUUGUUAAUGUUUUCAGAGGAGCACCCGUCCAGUGGGAAUCCCCAAAGGGGGCCGAGGGGAACGGAAUCCCGCCGACGAGUCUCGUGGGCGACAGAGCCGAGAGCGUGCAGUUACCGGCCAGGGAAGGAGGAGCGCCAUCGAUUCGCAGCGGAACGUCGUGGAGUUUUGCCGCGAAGACGACGGCUGCAGUGCCCUGUACGUGUAACGCAUCGGAUAGAAGAGGCCAUUACGAGCGGACCUCUACAGUUGGCGGCAGUCGUCAUGUAAGAGUGUAAUUUGCUAAAUGUUUUCUCCGUUUCAGAUGGAACUGAUGGGGCGAAGUCGCCGUCGAGGAUUACGUGUCUCUGCGACUGGGGCGUACGGAGCCGAGAAGACGACGUCCCUCGAACGCGUAGGGUGCGACCGUUGUGUGUGGAGCCGAUGAGAAGACGUCGUUUGAAGGUAUAGCUGUCAUCUCUGUGAAGCCGAGGAGAAGUCCCGUGAAAGUCUAGCCGUGGUCCCAGUGACUGGGGUGUAUGGAGCCGAGAAGACGUCCUUUGAAUGUAUAGCCGUCGUCUCAGUGACUGGGGGUGUAUGGAGCCGAGAAGACGUCCUUUGAAUGUAUAGCCGUCAUCUCUGUGAAUCCGAGGAGAAGAUGUCCUUUGAGGGUAUAGCCGUCGUCUGUUACUGGGGUGAAGACGUCCCGUGAAAGUCUAGCCGUGGUCCCAGUGACUGGGGUGUAUGGAGCCGAGAAGACGUCCUUUGAAGGUAUAGCUGUCAUUUCUGAAGCUGAGGAGAAGACGUCCCGUGAACGUAUAGCCGUGGUCCCAGUGAUUGGGGUGUAUGGAGCCGAGAAGACGUCUUUUGAACGUAUAGCCGUCAUCUCCGUGAAGAUGACGUCCUUUGAACGUAUAGCUGUCGUCCCCGUGGCUGGAGCCGAGAGGAUGAUGUUUGAAGCAGAAAUUGAUGUACUGUACUGUUAUAUUGCUAAGUGUAUAGAAUAUAUGUAUUUGAGUUGAA